RNAcentral lists this ribosomal RNA (482 nucleotides) under uncultured bacterium. Its description in RNAcentral is "partial 16S ribosomal RNA". It matches the Rfam family "Bacterial small subunit ribosomal RNA", at positions 30 to 505 of the family's 1533-position model. The record is from RNAcentral.
AUUGAACGCUGGCGGCAGGCCUAACACAUGCAAGUCGAGCGGAUGAAGGGAGCUUGCUCCUGGAUUCAGCGGCGGACGGGUGAGUAAUGCCUAGGAAUCUGCCUGGUAGUGGGGGAUAACGUCCGGAAACGGGCGCUAAUACCGCAUACGUCCUGAGGGAGAAAGUGGGGGAUCUUCGGACCUCACGCUAUCAGAUGAGCCUAGGUCGGAUUAGCUAGUUGGUGGGGUAAAGGCCUACCAAGGCGACGAUCCGUAACUGGUCUGAGAGGAUGAUCAGUCACACUGGAACUGAGACACGGUCCAGACUCCUACGGGAGGCAGCAGUGGGGAAUAUUGGACAAUGGGCGAAAGCCUGAUCCAGCCAUGCCGCGUGUGCGAAGAAGGUCUUCGGAUUGUAAAGCACUUUAAGUUGGGAGGAAGGGCAGUAAGUUAAUACCUUGCUGUUUUGACGUUACCAACAGAAUAAGCACCGGCUAACUUCG